This 414-nucleotide long non-coding RNA is filed under the name Nicotiana benthamiana. Its description in RNAcentral is "long non-coding RNA (NBEN_LNC023540)". Lineage: Eukaryota; Viridiplantae; Streptophyta; Magnoliopsida; Solanales; Solanaceae. The record is from RNAcentral.
CUAGCAGACCAGCAAGUAACUUUAGCUGUGAUCUUCUCAAUAAUUGGGAGAUAAUGACCAACAGAUAGCUUUUUAGAAUCAAGGGGGAUUCCCAGAUAUCUGAAAGGUAGUUUACCUUCAGUGAAUCCCAGUUCUUCCAGAAUCAGAACCUUAUCAUCCAGUGUAGUGCCAGCUAUAUACAGUGCACUCCUUGACAGACACCAAAUCAGCUCUACAAAACAUCCGUAGGUCAUCAGCAAAGCACACAUGUGUACAGUUAAGCUUCCUGCACUUAGGGUGAAAAUUGAAGUCACCAUUUCUGUGCAGUUUCUCCAUAAUCCUGUUGAGAUAUUCCAUUGCCAAUACAAAAAGGUAGGGUGACAUAGGGUCACAUUGUCUAAUACCCCUUUUAGCUUUGAAAGGUUUUGUAAGUCC